UAACUCCUCAAAAUAACAAAAGUUUUUGGCAGAGUCACUGCACCUUAUUAUUUAAACUGUUCUAGGAUAAGAAAUCUGUGAGUACCUCAGAAGAGAUUCAAGAGAGUUGUAAUUCUUCUGGCAAUUUAACCUCUCCCUUGAGCAAUACUUCAGUGCUCUCACCAUCUUUGGCUAUAGCACCAUCUCCUGCUAUUUCACAGGAUAGCAGCCUCCAGCACAGCCUUACAGAUAUGGGCCAUGAUCGACAACUAAGACUGCUACUUAGUCAACCUGUUCAGCCAAUGGUGCCUGGAUCCUGUCAUGCAAGGGUGACAGAUGUUGAUGCAGCUGGACACAGCGAAAAGUAUUUUCAAAAAAUACAAUCUUGCCAAGGUUUGGAAGCACAAACUUCCAGCAACGGUACACCAGUGGUGCUUAUGAGACAAUCAGGAUUGCACCCAGGAUUCUCUGGAGUAUCACCAUCUCAACCCUCAUGUUUGCAAUCUAUGCAUCAACAUCUUCCACAGCAAUGCUACCUUCAGGUGGGUUGGAACAAAUAUACUUUAAUGUAAAUCUGAUUUGAAUGUCCUUUUAGCUGCAGGGGC
This 584-nucleotide long non-coding RNA is filed under the name Pseudonaja textilis. RNAcentral describes it as "lncRNA (ENSPTXG00000002168.1)". Lineage: Eukaryota; Metazoa; Chordata; Lepidosauria; Squamata; Elapidae. The record is from RNAcentral.